This is a long non-coding RNA of Brachypodium distachyon (stiff brome), 1365 nucleotides long. RefSeq lists it as uncharacterized. The record is from RefSeq and is a predicted model, not a curated record. The transcript is spliced from 2 exons. NCBI's taxonomy places the organism in Eukaryota, Viridiplantae, Streptophyta, Magnoliopsida, Poales, Poaceae.
UCCUCUCACGCAGACAACAACGAACAUCAAGCAAGCUAGCUCGAUUACCUCUGUUUAAUCGGUUGCUGGCCGAAAGCAAAGCACACGCACGUAUACACACAGUGGCACACGUACACAUGAAAAAUCGAUUGGAGUUUGGAUAGCCAAAGGCCCGUAUCGAUCCUUGCUUUUUGCUUUUUCCACGCGUACUGUUACCUCAUCGGUGGUCGCCGGAUCCGCGUUGCGGCAGCCGCUGCUUGCUAAUCCAGGCGGCUGGUUUGUCUACCGACGGCAAGCGAAGCGGUGAUAGGGGCUGUGUAGGUUGGUGGUGUUUUGGAUGGUGGAAUGCGCCGGCGAAAGCAUUGGGGCCGUUGGUCGGCUUGGCGACGGCGACGUCUUUGGGCGCCGCUCCCGUCCUUGGAGGCGUCGUUAUGGUAAUUCCAACAUACUUCUCUCCAGGUGAAAACCUUGCAGGGAUUAAUCGGACGGGCGGCGAUGGUGUUCCACACGCAAAACUCCUCUGGGGCGCCGCUUUGAAGUGCCUUCUUGCGCGGCUGUGGCCGUGUCUGAUUUUCACACAUCAUCCAUUGCUCUGCUCUCGUGGUUGUGGCCAGGAUCCAGCGAGCUCGAUUGCUCGGCUCCUUGAUUCUUCUUCACCCUAUCUACUUGGUUGAUGAUGGCUGCAUUCGUCAGUUGCCCUCCCUCCUUUGGGGCUUCCUUCCCUCACAGGGCGUUGGAGGGAGCUCGACAUAAUGGCAAAUUGGAAAGCCAGCCCCUGCUCUGGCUUGAUGCAGGCAGCCUUGUCAACCACUGCCACGGGAUAUCAUCGGCAAGGUCAGUGGAGCGCGGCAGUUGGCUGCAAAUUGACUAAGCUUUGGUGUCCUCCAGUCAGUCGUGGAUGGGUGUUUGUGUGUUCGGUACGUGUUGUCUUUUGUGAUUUCUACGCCUGUUUGAAGCCAGGUUGGUCAGGCCAGGGGGCUCGUUCUCAUUAGGCGGUCUUCCCCCCUUCCAGCUUUCUCACAUUUCUCCCUUGAUGAUGGGUGUCAGAGAGCAUCAACAAGAGUGGCAACCAGACGGUCAUGGUGUGUGGAAGUUUCCCUCACCUUGGUUAGAUGAAUACGGGGGUUGAAGGUCAUAAAUGUAUAGUGCGAAUGCGGCAAGUAAGAAGCUUGGUAUUUGAGUAGACCAAUGAUUGGAAGAUUACUCUUAGGUUGGGCUUGAAAGUUGAUAUGUGCCCUUCCUUCUGUUCUGUAUUUUCUCUUUUCGGCCUUGCCGACCUCAUUUUUUUCUCCUUGGUUUGCCGAGAUGAUUUGUGUAACUUCAUUGUAACUGUCCCUUCCUAGGGUCCUUUCGAUAAAUGAAAAAGUAGGUACGUAUCCCCGCCCC